Molecule: transfer RNA, 71 nt
Filed under: Fusarium oxysporum f. sp. conglutinans race 2 54008
Lineage: Eukaryota; Fungi; Ascomycota; Sordariomycetes; Hypocreales; Nectriaceae
Description: tRNA-Und (NNN) (tRNA-Und-NNN-1-1)
Rfam family: tRNA
About the family: Transfer RNA (tRNA) molecules are approximately 80 nucleotides in length. Their secondary structure includes four short double-helical elements and three loops (D, anti-codon, and T loops). Further hydrogen bonds mediate the characteristic L-shaped molecular structure. tRNAs have two regions of fundamental functional importance: the anti-codon, which is responsible for specific mRNA codon recognition, and the 3' end, to which the tRNAs corresponding amino acid is attached (by aminoacyl-tRNA synthetases). tRNAs cope with the degeneracy of the genetic code in two manners: having more than one tRNA (with a specific anti-codon) for a particular amino acid; and 'wobble' base-pairing, i.e. permitting non-standard base-pairing at the 3rd anti-codon position.
Source: RNAcentral
GGUCUGGUGGUCUAGGGGUAUGAUUGUCGCUUAGGAUAAACCCUUCCCGGGUUCAAAUCCCGGCCAGACCC